CGCGUAGGCGGUGCCACAAGUCACCUGUGAAACCUCCGGGCUCAACUCGGAGCCUGCAGGCGAAACUGUGGUGCUGGAGUAUGGAAGAGGUGCGUGGAAUUCCCGAUGUAGCGGUGAAAUGCGUAGAUAUCGGGAGGAACACCUGUGGCGAAAGCGGCGCACUGGACCAUAACUGACGCUGAGGCGCGAAAGCUAGGGGAGCAAACAGGAUUAGAUACCCUGGUAGUCCUAGCCCUAAACCAUGGAUGCUUGGUGUAGCCGGUACCCAAUCCGGCUGUGCCGAAGCUAACGCGAUAAGCAUCCCGCCUGGGGAGUACGGUCGCAAGGCUGAA
Molecule: ribosomal RNA, 332 nt
Filed under: uncultured bacterium
Lineage: Bacteria
Description: bacterial SSU rRNA
Rfam family: Bacterial small subunit ribosomal RNA
Source: RNAcentral